Molecule: long non-coding RNA, 2809 nt
Organism: Triticum aestivum (bread wheat)
Lineage: Eukaryota; Viridiplantae; Streptophyta; Magnoliopsida; Poales; Poaceae
Exons: 4
Source: RefSeq, a predicted model, not a curated record
ACAGCUUGGGAACCCCUACCUCAGAUAUGCCGAUUUUGACACCGACACCUGCCCCACGCCGGCUUCCUCCCCCGAACCACGUUGCGAUGCAACCGCCUCAUCCCCCUCCUCGUUCCCCACCAUCUCAAGCUUCAAUUUUCUCCACAUCACCGGUAGUUGAUCUGUGGGCAGAACUACGGGCGGCGGCCUGGAGCGGCAGUACGCGAGCUCUGACUCCAUCCCGAGCCAGCCGGCACACCCACUGAGGACGGACCGGAGCAGCCACAACCGGCGUCGCCCGCAGGGCGAGGCCCCAUCCUGCAGGGUGAGGCCUCCCGGCCAGGCCCGCAGUAGGUGCCGGUCGGUGCGCCUUGGCAGAUGCAGGGGAGGCGUAGGUCGCCGGCCCCAGCUCCCCACCCAGUCUAUGGACCGCCGCGUCGUUGCUCUCCAGGAACGCGGCCGCAGAUCCUUCUGAGCUGAGGCGCACCGCAUGGCCAAGCGGGGCGGUGACAACGCGCUAGUGAGCCAGUGCCGGCUGGACCAGAGCAUGACCGGCGCCGCGCGCGCGGUCUGGGGCCUGUAGUUCCUCGACCAGAGCAUGGUCACGCAGGGCAGCUGGCCCGAGGUGGAGAAGUGGUUCGACCAUCAUCUACAGCCUGCUCCUCCGCUCGCACUUCAGCCAGUACAUUGGGAUGGUUGGAUCACAGGAAUUCACGGCACAGAUGUUUGAUGCGCUUGUACAGCGAAGGGGGUCGUUGCUCUGGUGCUGACCAAGGAUGAGCUGAGGGAAUUCUGGGAGCAUCUAUCAGAUUCAUGUUCUUGGUUGUUUCAAUUUGUUUCAACCCAUUCAGGUUCAUGGAUUAUAUCACAGAUAACAUCAGAUUCGGUUUGAUUCAACACAAGAGCAGUUGUUUCUGUCAGGUUUUGAUCUGUCAAGUUGUUGUUCAGUCAAGAUCGAAUUUCCGUGACCAAAUGUUCAGAGACCAAAUAAUCUUAGACAUGCUCUUAAUUAUUGGAUCAUGAACUUGCAGUAAUAAACAUGAUAAACAAUACUAGGACCGCCAAGAAACUGUAUUUAGUGAUCUUGUUAAAGAAGCUACAGACACAUCAUUAUAAUGUGCAUUUCAAUCAGACUUGAGAUGCAAAUAACACAGUAGUACAACAGGAUAACUAGACAAGAAGCAUUGGAGAAAAUUACUGUCUAUCCCAGGAUUACUUAUUUGUUUUCAUCACACAUUAGAGAUUUUUGUUCUCCACUUGUGUGUACACUGAAGCUACUAGAUUUGGUACUUUUCCAUCUUUGUUCUUGAUUAUCAGGUCCAUCUUGCAAAGAUUUGGUACUUGUCCAUCUUACAAAUAGAAGAAACAGAGGAUGCUUAUCAGGUCCAUCUUGCAAAGAUGCCUUAGAUCCAGGAAAGAUGAACAAAGAUUUGGUUUCAUUGCAAGUUUUGGACAACAUUCAAGCUUAUCAGUGUCACGAAGCUUCGAGCUAGCGUGUCGACAUCAUAGUUUCGAUAUUCUUCCUCCAAGCCUUCUAUCAAUUCCCUGAUGCUUUGAGGUGCUCUGCAAUCGGUAUGCGACUGGAGAGACCUGAAGAUGCAGAGAUCAAGAAUAUUCAGGUCGGGGCUGUUUAGAGGUUGUUGGAUCAACUUGAUAUCCAGAUCAGUUUGUUCUAUGGCCUGUUGGAAAACCUCGUCACUAGGCUUAAGAUGCGGUGUAGCAUUAUCUUGCUGGAUAAAGAUGGUCCGUUCUUCAUCUUUGGUGGGCCACAGGUCCUGGAUAGCUGGAAUCAGUUUCUCACACAUAUAUAGCCUCAAUACAUCUCUUGUAACUUUCAAUGAUUUGAGUUCGAGUGUCCCUUUUUCUCUAUUUUCACUCCUUUGAGCCGGAGACUCUGUGACAAAGGGUCAAAUGCCUAUCUUUCCAUCAAACGUGACGACACCAUCUUUGCCAUAUCUUGGUUUAGCAACGGCCGCGAGAAACAUCACCUUCGCGAUGCUAUCCUUAUGAUGCAAGGUGUGCAAGAGAUCAUGUUCUUCAGGAAGCAGCAAGUAGCCAUUCACCUCAUGUGUCAGAUUAAACCAUUUCUCAUCCAUGUAGACUAUGACAUCUAAUUCCCGGAAAGGAGGCCAGGGAGUUCUCAGCCAAUUAUCAUCAGCCAUAGAAAUGCAAAAUCUCAAUCUUUGUAUCUGGUUGGCUGGCUUUAUCGUGGGCCUCUGUUUUUUAGUGUUGCACCUCAACUCACCCAACACAAACCUUACGUGUAAGGUCGUGCAACUUACACCCAAGGACCUUGAUAGACUUUGAAAUGUCCUCCGCCUAUUUAGUGGGAUUGUCGCCAUCCUCAACAGGUCCAGAUCUUUCGGCUUACGGCCAACAUUACCUUUCUUUUGGUUCGAGACAUCAACUUUCACCCCUCGUGCAAUUUGGUGAUUUGCUCUUCUCCAUAUUCUACGAACAGUGCUUAGGCUUGUCUUCAGUAGGUCGGCAAUGAGCUUCUUGUCUGUUUUCACCACUUGUCCAUCUUUGUUCCUGAUUACUUUGAGAGCAAAAUAAACACCAAAUCUCUCCUUAUUUGUCAGUUCUCUGCUUUUUGGAUGCUCAACAUCUUCAAGUUGUACUUCUCCUUCUUCUUCUUCUUCAUUGGCUUCAAGUUGUACUUCUUCUUCUUGAGGAAUCAAAUUCAGAUCUGGAAGCCAAUUUAAAUCUGGUUCUUCUUGUUCUUCUGGUUCUUCAAGUUCCCAAUCAUCAUCUUGUCGAGGACUCAUGUUGAGAUCAACACCAAACAUCAUCGCAGUGGUGGCGAUGACACAACUUGAGCUCACUGUGA